AACCGCGGUUACACGAGAGACCCUAGUUGAUAGACACGGCGUAAAGAGUGGUUAGGGUUAUCAAUAAUAAAGUUAAACCUCCUCCAAACUGUUAUAUGCUACUUCGAAAGUAUGAAAUCCUAUUACGAAAGUAACUUUAAUUUUCCCGACCCCACGAAAGCUAGGACA
RNAcentral lists this ribosomal RNA (168 nucleotides) under Holopristis ocellifer. RNAcentral describes it as "partial 12S rRNA". Lineage: Eukaryota; Metazoa; Chordata; Actinopteri; Characiformes; Acestrorhamphidae. The record is from RNAcentral.